Molecule: ribosomal RNA, 765 nt
Filed under: Triticum aestivum (bread wheat)
Lineage: Eukaryota; Viridiplantae; Streptophyta; Magnoliopsida; Poales; Poaceae
Description: partial small subunit ribosomal RNA
Source: RNAcentral
AUGGAAUUGAGUUUGUCUCAUACGCUUCACCUUUUUAAUAUCUUUCAUGAGUAUGAUGGAAAGGAUAAUUGUGCUCAAGUUCUAGAAGAAGAAAUCUAUAAAAUGUUUGGCACUAAAUAUUUGAAUGAUGAGCAUGAUUGCAAUGUUGUUAGUAUGAAUUCCUUGAAUAUCCAUGAUGCUAAUGAUAUGCAAAGCCACAAGCUUGGGGAAGCUAUGUUUGAUGAAGAUGAUAUUUUUUGUCCCCCAAGUUUUGAUGAGCAAAUUUAUUAUGAUGAAAGCAUGCCUCCUAUCUAUGAUGAUUAUUGUGAUGACACAUAUGCUUUAAAGAAUAAUGAUAACAAUGAAACUUGUCAUCUUGAUUUCAAUUUUCAAUCCCAUGAUAGUUACUUUGUUGAGUUUGCUCCCACUACUAUUAAUGAGAAGAAAUUUGCUUAUGUGGAGAGUAAUAAAAUUUCUAUGCUUGUAGAUCAUGAAAAGAAUGCUUUAGGUGCUGGUUAUAUUUUUGAAUUCAUUCAUGAUGCUACUGGAAAUUAUUAUGAGGGAGGAACAUAUGCUUGUCGGAAUUGCAAUAAUAUCAAGUUUCCUCUCUAUGUGCUUAAAGUUUUGAAGUUAUGCUUGUUUUACCUUCCUAUGCAAGUUGAUUCUUGUUCCCACAAGUUGUUUGCUCACAAAAUCCCUAUGCAUAGGAAGUAUGUUAGACUUAAAUGUGCUAGUCAUAUUCUUUAUGAUGCUCUCUUUAUAUUACAAUCCUUAUCUUUUAUGUGA